GGGCGUGUAGCUCAGGGGUAGAGCGCUCGCUUUGCAUGCGAGAGGUCUAGGGUUCGAUUCCCUACCCGUCCA
RNAcentral lists this transfer RNA (72 nucleotides) under Exutisphaerella laricina CBS 326.52. Its description in RNAcentral is "tRNA-Ala (TGC) (tRNA-Ala-TGC-1-1)". It matches the Rfam family "tRNA". Rfam says of the family: Transfer RNA (tRNA) molecules are approximately 80 nucleotides in length. The record is from RNAcentral. Lineage: Eukaryota; Fungi; Ascomycota; Dothideomycetes; Mycosphaerellales; Mycosphaerellaceae.